UACGUAGGGUGCAAGCGUUAAUCGGAAUUACUGGGCGUAAAGCGUGCGCAGGCGGUUAUAUAAGACAGAUGUGAAAUCCCCGGGCUCAACCUGGGAACUGCAUUUGUGACUGUAUAGCUAGAGUACGGUAGAGGGGGAUGGAAUUCCGCGUGUAGCAGUGAAAUGCGUAGAUAUGCGGAGGAACACCGAUGGCGAAGGCAAUCCCCUGGACCUGUACUGACGCUCAUGCACGAAAGCGUGGGGAGCAAACCGG
This 253-nucleotide ribosomal RNA is filed under the name uncultured bacterium. RNAcentral describes it as "partial 16S ribosomal RNA". It matches the Rfam family "Bacterial small subunit ribosomal RNA", at positions 524 to 776 of the family's 1533-position model. The record is from RNAcentral.